AAAACGAAUCAAAACACACCCAAAAAGAAGCCAACAGAGCAGGGCUCGAUCAUCACUAAACAUCGAAUAACCAGCAAAGUAGGUCUCUAUAACAAAGCAAAAAGCUCUAAAACUGUAUUAAGGGAUCAAAAAGUAGAAGACAACAUGAAGAAGUGUGUCCCAGAUCAUGAGGAAGAACUGAAAAAAGACCUUUCAAGAGUUUUAGAUUGUUCCUCAUUCAGAAUUAAGCCUCUGAUUGCUAGUUCUGGAUACAUUAGCACAGAAAUGACUGCAUCCUCUGAUAUUCCCAUAUCUGUUCCAAGACAAUUCAGUGGAAGG
Exaiptasia diaphana is the source of this 318-nucleotide long non-coding RNA. RefSeq lists it as uncharacterized. The record is from RefSeq and is a predicted model, not a curated record. The transcript has 4 exons. NCBI's taxonomy places the organism in Eukaryota, Metazoa, Cnidaria, Anthozoa, Actiniaria, Aiptasiidae.